GACGAACGCUGGCGGCGUGCUUAACACAUGCAAGUCGUACGGAAAGGCCCAGCUUGCUGGGUGCUCGAGUGGCGAACGGGUGAGUAACACGUGGGUGAUCUGCCCUGCACUUUGGGAUAAGCCUGGGAAACUGGGUCUAAUACCGGAUAGGACUACGGCCUGCAUGGGUUGUGGUGGAAAGUCCUUUGGGAUGGUGUGGGAUGGGCCCGCGGCCUAUCAGCUUGUUGGUGGGGUGAUGGCCUACCAAGGCUGCGACGGGUAGCCGGCCUGAGAGGGU
Molecule: ribosomal RNA, 277 nt
Filed under: uncultured bacterium
Lineage: Bacteria
Description: partial 16S ribosomal RNA
Rfam family: Bacterial small subunit ribosomal RNA
Source: RNAcentral